RNAcentral lists this ribosomal RNA (492 nucleotides) under uncultured bacterium. RNAcentral describes it as "partial 16S ribosomal RNA". It matches the Rfam family "Bacterial small subunit ribosomal RNA", at positions 29 to 507 of the family's 1533-position model. The record is from RNAcentral.
AGUGAACGCUGGCGGUAGGCCUAACACAUGCAAGUCGAACGGCAGCACAGUAAGAGCUUGCUCUUACGGGUGGCGAGUGGCGGACGGGUGAGGAAUACAUCGGAAUCUACUUUUUCGUGGGGGAUAACGUAGGGAAACUUACGCUAAUACCGCAUACGACCUACGGGUGAAAGCAGGGGAUCUUCGGACCUUGCGCGAUUGAAUGAGCCGAUGUCGGAUUAGCUAGUUGGCGGGGUAAAGGCCCACCAAGGCGACGAUCCGUAGCUGGUCUGAGAGGAUGAUCAGCCACACUGGAACUGAGACACGGUCCAGACUACUACGGGAGGCAGCAGUGGGGAAUAUUGGACAAUGGGCGCAAGCCUGAUCCAGCCAGACCGCGUGGGUGAAGAAGGCCUUCGGGUUGUAAAGACCUUUUGUUGGGAAAGAAAAGCAGCAGGUUAAUACCCCGCUGUUCUGACGGUACCCAAAGAAUAAGCACCGGCUAACUUCGUG